This 661-nucleotide long non-coding RNA is filed under the name Equus caballus (horse). RNAcentral's name for it is "lncRNA (ENSECAG00000028704.3)". The record is from RNAcentral. Lineage: Eukaryota; Metazoa; Chordata; Mammalia; Perissodactyla; Equidae.
UUUAAGAAUACUAAGAGGUAUUAUCUUCUUUCUUAGCUUCUAUACAUGUUUAAAUUCCUGUGAUUGAGUUCACUAAAUAGAAAACAGGAACAUGUACACCCCAUUCUAAAUGACUGAGAAAGAAAUGGAUAAACAAGACCAUAUUUAGCAAAGCAUUUUAAUUUGGGGAAGAAACUGAACAAAGAAAAGAAAAAGAACAUUAAUAAUGCUGAACUUCAGUGAACUACAUUUAUUAGCAUCCAUGUUGUUCUCCCAGUUAAUAUAGAGAUAUCUUGUAUUAUACAGAAUAACUGUCACCCAUGUUUCCAUUUAUGACAACAUUCUGAAAAUAUUCCGAUUUGCUCAAAGCAGAGAUCAUCGAUGCCAGCUGAUUGAGUGCACUAACCUUCCCAGAUCUAUACAUGUGCAUGCUUGUAUAUGUAUAAAUGUAUACAGUGGUCACACCUCUGAGACUUUUUGGCUGCUGGUCAUCAACGGUUUCGCUGGUUCUGAUCCUGGGCGCGGACGUGGCACUGCUCAUCAGACCAUGACUCUUGGUCAGAACACAUCCUGACAAGACAGUUAAACAUAAACAAAGAGCUCUGUAACAAGUGCAACAAGAAGAGCAUCAUUUUUUUGUGAGCACACUUUGAUACUCCGUGGAGAAAUGCAUUGCCCCCAG